Molecule: ribosomal RNA, 253 nt
Filed under: uncultured bacterium
Lineage: Bacteria
Description: partial 16S ribosomal RNA
Rfam family: Bacterial small subunit ribosomal RNA
Source: RNAcentral
UACGGGGGGGGCAAGCGUUGUUCGGAAUUACUGGGCGUAAAGGGCUCGUAGUCGGCCAACUAAGUCAGACGUGAAAUCCCUCGGCUUAACCGGGGAACGGCCUCUGAUACUGGCUGACUUGAGUUCGGGAGAGGGAUGCGGAAUUCCAGGUGUAGCGGUGAAAUGCGUAGAUAUCUGGAGGAACACCGGUGGCGAAGGCGGCAUCCUGGACCGACACUGACGCUGAGGAGCGAAAGCCAGGGGAGCAAACGGG